GGGGACCUUCGGGGCCCUACAACCACGGCGCCGCUCACCCGUUGAGCCAAGCGUCACACAAGCAAAACGGAAGACAGA
RNAcentral lists this non-coding RNA (78 nucleotides) under uncultured Sulfitobacter sp. RNAcentral's name for it is "L2-Alphaproteobacteria ribosomal protein leader". It matches the Rfam family "L2-Alphaproteobacteria ribosomal protein leader". Lineage: Bacteria; Pseudomonadati; Pseudomonadota; Alphaproteobacteria; Rhodobacterales; Roseobacteraceae. The record is from RNAcentral.